AGACGGAGUAAGGAACGGAAGAGCUCAAAAAUGGGCGGAAACCGGGAUACAAACACGGAAACGAAAACGACUCAAAACUCAAUACUUUAUCCAAUUUUUCAUAAGUAUAUAUCCAUAAUCGUAGUAAUAAAUAGGUUGCCAUUAACGAAUUUACGAAACGAGGAAGACAGCAUGCGAUGCUUCUUCAACGGCAUAUAACAAUGAGAAUCCUUGUAUUCCUAUCAUUACUAAGAUGAAUAUUCAAACAUUACUAGUGCAACGCAACGACGUUUAUGAAAAAAAAUUUUAUAAAUAGGAUGAAAGCAUUUCCAACGCAAUAAACCCAGCUGGUGAGUAGGAUGCCGGAGAUUUCGCCACUCCUAAUUGGGAGAGGAGCGCUAAGGUUACAGUUGCGUUCAGCACUCACUACACGACACCUACUCUGUGACAACCCGGAGUUGGGCUGGUUCCCUCCGACGUUUCCUCCAGGAAAGGCUGGAGUUCAUAGCUGUUAUAUCCGGUAAAGGGAAUGAUUAGAGGACUCGGGGUCGAAACGAUCUCAACCUAUUCUCAAACUUUUAAUGGGUAUGUUGUCUCAGUUUCUUCAUUGAACUGUUGACACGAGCGCGAGCUCCAAGUGUGCCAUUUUUGGAAAGCAGAACUGGCGCUGUGGGAUGAACAAACGUUGGGUUAAGGUGCCUAACUUUUCGCUCAUGAGACCCCAUAAAAGGCGUUAGUUGAUAUAGACAGCAGGACGGUGGCCAUGGAAGUCGGUACCCGCUAUGGAGUGUGUAACAACUCACCUGCCGAAUCAACUAGCCCUGAAAAUGGAUGGCGUUUGAGCGAGAGACCUAUACCCAACCGUUGCUGGCUUGUGCGUUGUCUAGCGCCUGGCCGCAACGAGUAGGAGGGUCGUGGCGGUUGCGUCGAAGGCUUUGGGCGUAGGCCCAGCUGGGGCUUCCGUCAGUUCAGAUCUCGGUGGUAGCAGCAAAUAUUUAAGUUCGAUCCUUGAAGACUGAAGUGGAGAAGUGUUCCACGUGAACAGUAAUUGAAUGUGGGUCAGUUGAUCCUAAGAUACUGGCUUAUGCCUUGUAUCACCGAGAGGGAAAAGUCUCUUUUCUCUCGGAUAUCAAAAGGGAAUAGGGUUAAUAUUCCCUAACGCAGACACAGAGAUUGUGGCUCUUUGAGGUACUUGCGCGGUAACGCAUUCGAACUUGGUUACGUCGCUCAGAGACCGAGCUAGAGUUCUCUUCUCUAGUUAAGGAACGGACUCCCUGGAAUCGGCUCAGCCGUAGAUAGGGACGUUGUUUUCUGUAAAGCAUAGCGGUUUCUGUGAUGUCUCGUGUUUUCUGGACGGCCCUUGAAAAACCAAGGAAGGCUAUUAAUCUGUGCUGCAUCGUUCCGAUAUCCGCAUCAGGUCUCCAAGGUAAACAGCCUUUAGUCGAUAGAAUAAUGUAGGUAAGGGAAGUCGGCAAAUUAGAUCCGUUACUUCGGGAAAAGGAUUGGCUUCAGUGACCGGGUCGGUUGGCCUGUUAACUGAUGCUUGUGCGGUUUCGGCUGGCAGACGCUCACGCUGAUGCUGGACUAGUGACAAGGCUGCCUUGUGGACGUUUUCAGGUGCCUUGUCUUCGGGCUUAGUAUCCUGACCGCCCAUCAAAACGGUCGAACUGGAACUGGUACGGACUCGGGGAAUCCGACUGUCUAAACAGAGGAGACAGAUGGUCCUUGCGGACGUUUGCUGUCUCUGAUUUCUGCCCAGUGCUCUGAAUGUUAAACCGUAAUAAUUCGAGUAAGCGCGGGUAAACGGCGGGAGUAACUAUGACUCUCUUAAGGUAGCCAAAUGCCUCGUCAGCUAACUACUGACGCGCAUGAAUGGAUUAACGAGAUUCCACUGAUUCCCACUUGUGAGUUCGCAUAGGUCCAUAGUAUUGUUUGGUAGUAGCUGAAGCUCUGCAACGAACUCAAAGGUGUGGAGGCAAGACACCGCAUACCUUCCUACGACAAGUUGUUCCAGGCGAAGAUUAAUAGGAAAAAAUAAGCAUGCUGCAUGCGGUUAAAAAAUUUGAUUCUUGGUUCGAACACGCAUAAAACCUUCGUGGCGUUAUACUAUUUAGUAGUAGGGGACGGUCAGGAAGCACCGCAUAGUUAAUCUCUUUCUUCAGCCUUUCAUUCAAGUUCAAAAAGUGAAUUAGGGCAGUUCCAAGCGUCACCAUUUCCGUUCCGUUCCGUCUUCUGGCCGAAAAGAGAGCGGAAAACGGAACGAAACGGAAGGACUGAAAACGGUCGAAAACCGGAAUUCGGAACACGGAAAUGGAAAGUCCGCACAUCCCUGAUUACAAUGUUAGGUACACGGCAAACAGCUCUGCUUGGAGAUCGGUUACAAAUUAAACACAAAGAGUGUGUAAACAUGGUAAAGGGACACUAUAUUUCGAUUAAUGUGUUUUAUAGAUGACAGUGUUGUUUUAUCCCCUGUUGCUACCUGUUGUUGCCCGUUGUCGUUGAUGAUAGGGCAAAAGUUGAUAGGAGGCCGCUGCCGGCCGCUCUGGUAUUCAUUUGCUUCGUUCUCUCGUUCCAUUAAACCGAUUUCAUACCCGCUGUCACCGCAGCAGCACAACUUGGAGGCCGAACGGAUCGCCUAGGAAGGACCUUCGCGCUGGGAAGCCGAAAGCGAUCGGCUAUUGAGGUAAGUUUCAGCACUGGGAAGUUGCGUUGCCCUCAGCUUGCAGAUCAGUGAAAGCAGCUCUUGU
This 2726-nucleotide ribosomal RNA is filed under the name Heligmosomoides polygyrus bakeri. Its description in RNAcentral is "eukaryotic LSU rRNA". The stretch from base 1 to 1919 matches the Rfam family "Eukaryotic large subunit ribosomal RNA", at positions 354 to 3401 of the family's 3401-position model. Lineage: Eukaryota; Metazoa; Nematoda; Chromadorea; Rhabditida; Heligmosomidae. The record is from RNAcentral.